UUCCAGCCCCAUCCUGUGUGGGGAUGGCAGGACAGUACAGCCAAUGUCUUCUCCAGAUUUACAAAUGCCCAACGUGUUUGCGAAGAAAUGAUCUAGUCACUUCUGGGCAGGGGGACCAAUCAGAGAUUGGAUGUAUCCAUUGCUGGCUGAAACAGUCUUUGCGGUCUUUGGCCACGCCCAGAACCCUCGUCUGCUCUGUCUCUCCUCCCAGACAGACACUCCCGAGUUCAUGUCGGGAGAAGGAUGGCUCCCAGCUCCCCAGGGGAGGGAUUCAAGCCGUGGGAAGAGCCGAGCUCCAAGGACAUCGUGUUACACCCACUAAAAUGGUGUCAGGAGGCUCGGGAGGGAGGCGGCUCCAGGAACAAAGUACGACGAGGCCUGGGACUGUGUGGGAACAAUCUGGGCCUCACAGCUGCUCUGUGACAGCCCGUGUCCUCAGGUCCUUCCGGGCGGGGCCUCCUGAGCCUCCCACAGCACCUCUGCCACCCUUUUCCAGCACUUGGGCUGCUGUUCCACCUGGCCUCCAGCCCCUGAGGGGUGCCAGCCACACCAUGGAUGGGGAGGAGAGCCCCAUUUGGGGUAGUCACCUUGGAUACCUCUUUGCAUCCAGGGCGGUGGACCCUGUGUUUGGGGAGAAGUCCCGAUUCAGAAUUUGGAAUUGGGGUUUUGUGCUAAUUGGAUGCUUUUCUUCUGGCUUCAAAAUAAUCUUGUUUUGGUUGCUAAGAAACGCUCUUAAUUGA
This 740-nucleotide long non-coding RNA is filed under the name Bos indicus x Bos taurus (hybrid cattle). Its description in RNAcentral is "lncRNA (ENSBIXG00000017014.1)". Lineage: Eukaryota; Metazoa; Chordata; Mammalia; Artiodactyla; Bovidae. The record is from RNAcentral.